GCAGCGAUGCCGCGUGAGUGAAGAAGGCCUUUGGGUUGUAAAGCUCUUUCGUCGGGGAAGAAAAUGACUGUACCCGAAUAAGAAGGUCCGGCUAACUUCGUGCCAGCAGCCGCGGUAAUACGAAGGGACCUAGCGUAGUUCGGAAUUACUGGGCUUAAAGAGUUCGUAGGUGGUUAAAAAAGUUGGUGGUGAAAUCCCAGAGCUUAACUCUGGAACUGCCAUCAAAACUUUUUAGCUAGAGUAUGAUAGAGGAAAGCAGAAUUUCUAGUGUAGAGGUGAAAUUCGUAGAUAUUAGAAAGAAUACCAAUUGCGAAGGCAGCUUUCUGGAUCAUUACUGACACUGAGGAACGAAAGCAUGGGUAGCGAAGAGGAUUAGAUACCCUCGUAGUCCAUGCCGUAAACGAUGUGUGUUAGACGUUGGAAAUUUAUUU
This 431-nucleotide ribosomal RNA is filed under the name uncultured Pelagibacterales bacterium. RNAcentral's name for it is "bacterial SSU rRNA". It matches the Rfam family "Bacterial small subunit ribosomal RNA", at positions 388 to 839 of the family's 1533-position model. Lineage: Bacteria; Pseudomonadati; Pseudomonadota; Alphaproteobacteria; Candidatus Pelagibacterales. The record is from RNAcentral.